Molecule: ribosomal RNA, 591 nt
Filed under: uncultured organism
Description: bacterial SSU rRNA
Rfam family: Bacterial small subunit ribosomal RNA
Source: RNAcentral
GGGAGUACGCCCGCAAGGGUGAUACUCAAAGUAAUUGACGGGGGCCCGCACAAGCGGUGGAGCAUGUGGUUUAAUUCGAUGAUACGCGAAGAACCUUACCUGGGCUUGAACUGUACCCGACAGGUGUAGAGAUACACCCUCCUUCGGGCGGGUAUAGAGGUGCUGCAUGGUUGUCGUCAGCUCGUGUCGUGAGAUGUUGGGUUAAGUCCCGCAACGAGCGCAACCCUUACCCCUUGUUGCCAUCAGGUAAUGCUGAGCACUCUAGGGGAACUGCCGGUGACAAACCGGAGGAAGGUGGGGAUGACGUCAAAUCAUCACGGCCCUUAUGUCCAGGGCUACACACGUGCUACAAUGGCCGGUACAAAGAGUUGCGAUACCGCGAGGUGGAGCUAAUCUCAAAAAACCGGUCUCAGUUCAGAUUGUAGUCUGCAACUCGACUGCAUGAAGCUGGAAUCGCUAGUAAUCGCGGAUCAGCACGCCGCGGUGAUACGUUCCCGGGCCUUGUACACACCGCCCGUCACACCACCCGAGUUGGCAGCACCCGAAGUGGCUGAUCUAACCGCAAGGAGGAAGGUUACUAAGGUGAAGCUG